Molecule: long non-coding RNA, 4133 nt
Filed under: Sus scrofa (pig)
Lineage: Eukaryota; Metazoa; Chordata; Mammalia; Artiodactyla; Suidae
Description: lncRNA (ENSSSCG00000055775.1)
Source: RNAcentral
GCAGCUAAAAACAGCACCACUCAUUGAAUCUUCAAAAGAUCCAAUGUGAGGUAAGCGAACAGUAUCAAACAAUAGCAUUUAAUGUUGAUGUGACAUUUACGUCACUGAGUUACCAGAAAUUAUGCUGAAAUGAAAACUACUUGCUAUAUUAAAAAUUACACAGCCUGCUAUAAAUUAAACUGGAAGUAAUUACUACUUUAAUUGCAACAAAAGGAGUUUGCAAGGGAGCAGUGAGACCCCACAUAGCAAGCCAGGCAAGUGAAUUCAUUUAGUAAAUAUUUGAUUAUCUCCUUGGUGAAGUGACAGUCCCUGUGUGGAGCACUGGGAAUGCAGGGGUGACCAGAGGCCAUCUGGAACAGCGGUUCUCAGCACAGCAGGAGGAAGACUUUGCGGAGACCUGUUGGCUGUCACAGUGCGUGGGCCUUGCUGCUGUCUCGGUGGGUCAAGAGUCAGGGAUGCUGAGGAACAUCCACACGGCUCAGGUCAGCCCCCACAGAGGGUGCUGUUCAAAGUACCACUGACUGGAUGGCUUUGCCAGAGAAAUUUGUUUUUCUCAUGACUCCGCAGGGUAACAGACCAAGCUCCAGUUGUCAGUAGGGUUGGUUUCUUCUGAGGCCUCCUUCCUCAGCUUGCGGGUGGGCCCCCUUCUCCCUGUGUCUUCAUGUGGUCUUUCCUCUGCUCACUUGGGUCUGUGCCCUCUUCUCUUGUUAGGACACCAUCAUGUUGGACCAGGAUCCAUCCACAUGACCUCACCUUGCCGUAAUUACCACAGCAAAGUUCAGAAUGUCAGUUGUGUGAGAUUAGAAACCCCCAGUGUAAAGGAAUUCCCAAGUCCAUUGAAAAAUAAGGCCCAAAGAGCCUUACUAGCUCUGUUUGUUACACUUAGCAUGCUCUAAUAUUCAUAUGCUGAGAAAAUGACGUUAUUAUGUUUACUUGAGAAUAAAGAACUUUAGGCUGUUAGAUCCAGGAUUGAAACUGCUAAGUUUCUGAUUCUAAAAUUUACCUUUUAGUGAAAAUAUGACCGUCCUCAUUCAUUCUUUUACCUUCCCACUGCCCUGCAGGGUGUAGUAGCUCCCCUGGGGGUUCCACCCCACCGUGGCGAUGAUGCUUAUGGUUUCAGAUGGUGCCAGAGAGCUGCUGGGUGUCACUUAGAGGAGCACAUCUAGAUGUUCUGAUGUGUCAGGCUGUCCUUUCAUCCUCUCAUGCCUUCUCUCCUUUAUAUUCCUCAUUGAGAAGCACUGUUCUAGUGGGAAAGGUAGUGCCUACGCAUAGGAUAAUAUGGGUGGUGUAGGGAGGGUGGUAGGCAUUUAAAAACAACCUCAUGCAGUGCACUUGCAUGGCAGUGGGGCUGGUCAAAUAGUGAGAAAGCACUUUGUGGAGGAGUGAAGAGUGAGAAGAAAGCACCGCCAGAUGACGACACAAAUGUGGUUGCUAUGGCUGAAUGUGAAAUCUGACUUGAAUUUUCUUAGAACUAGGGAAAGGCAGAAGCAGUGGUUACAAAGUUCUUUAUCUAAUUAAAAGCAAAUAGAAAUUCUUUCUGAGACCCUUUUUUUCCUUUCCUUUUCUAUUAUGAAAGUGAAUUCUUUAUGAACGUGAGAGAGGACAAAUCAUCAUCACAACCAUUGAAUUCCUGACCGUUUUGAUAACCUUUCCCUGGUUCUAGUCUUUGGCUGUUUCCCAUGUCCUUCGGGAUAACCAUCUGAGGCUAUAAACAGGCCACACAGGCACCCCUCCAGCCCCCACCACCCCAUUCCUGCCUUCUAGCCCCACCCGCACUUAGACUUAAGGGGACGUUUCCCACCCCUUCCCGAUGUGUCUGGGCUGCCCCAGCCUCAGGCUAUAGAGAACACAGGACAGUCUGUGCCUGGAAUGUUGCUGCUCUCCUGACGAUUCCUGCUGCUCCCCCACCCCCACCCCCUGCUCCCGCCCCGGUGUCCUGUGCACACACCCCGGUUGGUCUCACUGGACAGCCUGCCUUGCCCGGGCCAUGGCACCUCCAUCUUCUGUUGAUUUUCCUGCUCCUUGGCCUGGCUGGGUUCUGAUGGGAGGAGUGAAUGCUGUCACUUGAACCCACAGUGAGUUUGGGAAGAAAUUUGCUUCUUCUCUCUCUCAUUUUUCCCCUUCCCCCUUUGCCCUUUUCCCUCCUCUCUCCCCCCGCUGCCUGCCUUGUGCUCUUGCAUAGACCACAUCAGACCACACUGGAUAGUUACCCAGGUUACAGUUGUGGCGAGUGCUGCAAGGCAGAGGUACAUGGCCUUCUGCAAGCACGUGAGAGAGGGCCUUUUGUUUUGCUCUAUAGAGAGCUUGAAUAUCAGUCCAAGGGGAUAAUGUUAAUCACCACAUCCCCUCCUUGUCCCCACCCCCAGGACGUGUGCAUGUUAUCUUCUGACUCCUUCAUACAAAAUAUUAAAAUACUCAUGGAAGUCAGCUCAUUCGUGCCUGUGUGUCCACAGACUUCACAGUUAUGUCAGACAAGCUGGACAAGUCUCAGUUCCAUUUGACUUCGCCAGAACCAACUCCACACUAAAACACAGCAGAUAGUGUUUUGUCACAAAACACUUUCACACAGUGUUAUGGGUCCUCUUUAAUGACUGCGUCAUGAACCCUCUCUGAAUGCUGUGCCACCUUUGACAGUCUCCUGUUCUGGGACAUUUAAGUUGCUACCAGUUUUUCCCAGUUAUAAAUAAUAAUAGAAUUAUUCCCUUAGGAUAGAUUCCCAGAAAUGGAGUUAUUAGAACAUAAGCUCUUAAUAAAAUAUAUGAGCAGACUGCUUUCAAAAUAAAGGACAUCAGGAUUUAAAUUCUAAAGGGAACUUGUUCUGCAGUUUUUAAAAUAAUGAUCAUUAAGUAUAUUGAAGCUUUUCAUGGGAAUUUCAUAGCAAGUGCAAAAGCUUUCAUGUGGCUGCUGCUUCCAUUAAUGAUUAAAGCUGAGAGUCCAAAAUUGAAGGGGACUCAGAAAAGACAAUUCUAUAGGGUAUUAAGCAAGCAAAGGCCAAGGUCCACUAGGGGUUCUGAUAUGGUAUUUAGGAUCUCUGAGGGGAGUGGCUAGAGGAUGCUUUUAUAAUAUGUCACACCCUGGCUGGACACAUCUGACAAGGUUCUAGAGCUGUUAUUUUUCUGGUGCUGGCUGAAGAAGGAAUACUGAUUUGGGUGCCAGAUGAACAGAUGGCAAAGUUGAUGGACUCUUAAGAAUGUCUUUACUUGAAUGGGAAGCCAGGUGGGCUCAGGAAUACCAACAGGUGCUUUUUUUUUUUUUUUUUGAUUCCCAUAUUGAUUAUAGCUUUGAAACAUCCAGUGUCAUAAUUGAAACCCCAGACUUUGACAUGGCAUUUUUUAUUAUUUCCAUUUGGAGCACCUAAGAACUGCCUUACAGUCUUAAAAGAAUUUUAUAACUUCUUUCGUGUAACAUCACUUUGAACAACCCUGACUUUUCCAUGCUUGACAGCAUGUCUGACCUACAGAAGGCACUUCUAGGUAACAUCGAAUUCAUUGUUGGGUAAAGCUGUUUAAUAUUAACUUUGAAUUGUGAAGAAUAUCUGCUGAAAGCAUUCUUAUUUGGUGGCAUUGGUUUCCCAAACUAUGACAUCUACAUAGAGCAAUUUACAUUGUAUUUUCAGUAUAUGAUACCGAGUUAUGUAUAUUGGUUAAAAGCUUGAAAGAGAAGGUGGGCCUAAUAUAGAAUCUGUGACAGCAUAACUUAGAGCUGAAAUCUUACUCACUUUGUCAUAAUUUUAAAGAAAUACAAGCUUUAUAGACAUUGUUUUGUCAGGAUCUGUCUUGGAUCAUGUAGUUGUGACUAUUGCUGAUUUCUAUCCAAAGUGGAAACGAGGUGAAUGAAUGCUUCUAAAAGUCCUACCUUGUUCAGGACUGUUUUUUCUUUGUUUGUUUUUGUUUGUUUUUUUCCUUGCAAAGUAAAAUAAUAGCAUAGUCAUGAAUCCGAGGACUUUAAACCUGUGUGUUCCCCAUGUGAGAGAGAAUAGAUUGAGAGACCUGGACUUCACUCUGUUAAAUUUGACAGGCAAACAGCACUUGCUAAAGGAUACUUUUCCGUACAAAUGGACUAGAAGCCAAAAGAAAGGAAUAGGAUGCAAAAGGCAGUUGUGAGCAAAGAAAUUGGUUAAACACACUAAAUAU